UACGGGGGGGGCAAGCGUUGUUCGGAAUUACUGGGCGUAAAGGGCUCGUAGGCGGCCAACUAAGUCAGACGUGAAAAUCCCUCGGCUUAACCGGGGAACUGCGUCUGAUACUGGUUGGCUUGAGUGUGGGAGAGGGAUGCGGAAUUCCAGGUGUAGCGGUGAAAUGCGUAGAUAUCUGGAGGAACACCGGUGGCGAAGGCGGCAUCCUGGACCAUUACUGACGCUGAGGAGCGAAAGCCAGGGGAGCAAACGGG
Molecule: ribosomal RNA, 254 nt
Filed under: uncultured bacterium
Lineage: Bacteria
Description: partial 16S ribosomal RNA
Rfam family: Bacterial small subunit ribosomal RNA
Source: RNAcentral